This 465-nucleotide ribosomal RNA is filed under the name uncultured bacterium. Its description in RNAcentral is "partial 16S ribosomal RNA". It matches the Rfam family "Bacterial small subunit ribosomal RNA", at positions 28 to 507 of the family's 1533-position model. The record is from RNAcentral.
GACGAACGCUGGCGGCGUGCUUAACACAUGCAAGUCGAACGGAAAGGCCCCUUUGGUGGUACUCUGGUGUCAAACGGGUGAGGAACACUUGAGUAACCUUCCCUUAACUUCAAGAUAACGUCAGGAAACUGGAGCUAUUGCCAGUUAGGGAUCCUUUCUUCAUGGGGGUGGUUGGAAAGCUUCGGCGGGUUUGGAUGGACUCGCGGCUUAACAGCUUGUUGGUUGGGUAGUGGCUUACCAAAGCGUUGACGGGUAGCCAGACUGAGAGGCCGACCGGCGAUAUUGGGACUGACAGACGGCAGCGACACGGAAGGGAGGCAGAAGUGGGGAAUACUGCCGAAUGGGCGGCAGGUUGAUGAAGAAACGCUGCGUGUGGGAUGACGGUCUUAGGGUUGUAAAACGUUUUUGGAAGGGGCGAAGCUUGUGGUGACGGUACCUGAAGAAGAAGCAACGGCUAACUACGUG